GACGAACGCUGGCGGCGUGCUUAACACAUGCAAGUCGAACGCUGAAGCUUGGUGCUUGCACUUAGGUGGAUGAGUGGCGAACGGGUGAGUAAUACGUGAGUAACCUGCCCUUGACUCUGGGAUAAGCCUGGGAAACUGGGUCUAAUACUGGAUAUGACCUCCUGUCGCAUGGUGGGGGGUGGAAAGGGUUUGUACUGGUUGUGGAUGGGCUCACGGCCUAUCAGCUUGUUGGUGGGGUAAUGGCCUACCAAGGCGACGACGGGUAGCCGGCCUGAGAGGGUGACCGGCCACACUGGGACUGAGACACGGCCCAGACUCCUACGGGAGGCAGCAGUGGGGAAUAUUGCACAAUGGGCGCAAGCCUGAUGCAGCGACGCCGCGUGAGGGAUGACGGCCUUCGGGUUGUAAACCUCUUUCAGCACGGAAGAAGCGAAAGUGACGGUACGUGCAGAAGAAGCGCCGGCUAACUACGUGCCAGCAGCCGCCGUAAAAC
This 493-nucleotide ribosomal RNA is filed under the name uncultured bacterium. Its description in RNAcentral is "bacterial SSU rRNA". It matches the Rfam family "Bacterial small subunit ribosomal RNA", at positions 28 to 526 of the family's 1533-position model. The record is from RNAcentral.